This 758-nucleotide ribosomal RNA is filed under the name uncultured organism. Its description in RNAcentral is "bacterial SSU rRNA". It matches the Rfam family "Bacterial small subunit ribosomal RNA", at positions 552 to 1314 of the family's 1533-position model. The record is from RNAcentral.
UAUUGGGUUUAAAGGGUGCGUAGGCGGAAUAGUAAGUCAGUGGUGAAAUCCUGCGGCUCAACCGUAGAACUGCCAUUGAUACUGUUAUUCUUGAAUGUAGUUGAGGUAGGCGGAAUGUGUAAUGUAGCGGUGAAAUGCUUAGAUAUUACACAGAACACCGAUUGCGAAGGCAGCUUGCUAAGCUACGAUUGACGCUGAUGCACGAAAGCGUGGGGAGCGAACAGGAUUAGAUACCCUGGUAGUCCACGCUGUAAACUAUGAUCACUCGUUGUUUGCGAUAUACAGUAAGCGACUGAGCGAAAGCAUUAAGUGAUCCACCUGGGGAGUACGUUGGCAACAAUGAAACUCAAAGGAAUUGACGGGGGCCCGCACAAGCGGAGGAACAUGUGGUUUAAUUCGAUGAUACGCGAGGAACCUUACCUGGGUUUAAAUGUAGGUUGCAUAGAGGGGAAACUCUCUUUUCCUUCGGGACUACCUACAAGGUGCUGCAUGGUUGUCGUCAGCUCGUGCCGUGAGGUGUCGGGUUAAGUCCCAUAACGAGCGCAACCCUUAUCGUUAGUUGCCAUCAGGUCAUGCUGGGGACUCUAACGAGACUGCCGGUGUAAACCGUGAGGAAGGUGGGGAUGACGUCAAAUCAGCACGGCCCUUAUAUCCAGGGCUACACACGUGUUACAAUGGUCGGUACAAAGAGCAGCCACUUGGCGACAAGGCGCUAAUCUCGAAAGCCGAUCACAGUUCGGAUCGGAGUCUGCAACUCG